Non-coding RNA from Podarcis lilfordi (Lilford's wall lizard), 72 nucleotides. Lineage: Eukaryota; Metazoa; Chordata; Lepidosauria; Squamata; Lacertidae. The record is from the annotation of a GenBank genome assembly.
GCCACAGCUCAGUGGUAGAGCAUUUGCUUUGCAUGCAGAAGGUCCCAGGUUCAAUCCCCUUUGGUGUCUCCA